This 331-nucleotide ribosomal RNA is filed under the name Oithona nana. RNAcentral describes it as "partial 28S ribosomal RNA". Lineage: Eukaryota; Metazoa; Arthropoda; Copepoda; Cyclopoida; Oithonidae. The record is from RNAcentral.
AGUACGUGAAACUGUGUAGUAGUAAACGGAGGGGCUCUCGAAGUCGGCGUUGACGGUUCAUGGUGGCGGCCGGUGAGCCUGGGGGCUGAUGAUCUGCAAAGACUUCACUCUUAGGUGGCUCUGGUUGACGCUUGCACUCCGUUGGCGCCUCACGCAACGAACCGUUCGGACCGGACCGAGGCUGUGGGUGAAGUUUCAGGCCUAGCUUGGAGCCCCGCAUUCCUGGCUCUGGACCGGACGGGUAUUGGAGCGGUCUCUUAUAGAGAGUGUCUUUUUGGCACGGGCCGCAUCUCUGUUGCGAGUAGGUCGGCGGCCCCUCCGACCCGUCUUG